AUGGACGAGGCCAAAUUCAUCCGUACCUAUAAUGACUUUGUGGACUACCUGAGUGACCCCUCCAAGCGGAAUGACAUUGAGAGGGAGCUGGCUGAGGCAAAGAUCCAUCAUGUGAACAUGAUAGAUGUCCUCUUUGAGCUGGUGCUGUUUGGGAUGAUGACAGCUCAGAAGUCCCUGAUGGUGGUAAGUAGCAUCUCACUGGAACAUGUUUUGAUAUCGCUCUAUUAGCAGUUUCACUUAAAUUCCUCAUCUCUUCUCUCCUCUUUUCUCCUCCUUUGUUUCCUUUAGCACCCUGGUGGGUUCGUGGAGCGUCUGUAUGCUCUCCUGUACUCCUUCCUGCCCACUGCUGCCAACAUGGAGCCAGAGGCUGAUAGAAUCCUACUGCUGCUCAAUGUAAGAGUCAAGAGGUUACUUCCUGUUUACUUCCAUAUUCUUAGUGUACUUCCUUUUGACUUCCUUAUUCAUGGUUAACCAGGUUUCAAUGCCAUUUUAGGGGGAGUAUUUCUAAUUGUCUCUCUCCUCUUGAUAAGCUAGUACCUCAGAGCCAUUUUCUAUGUGUUGUGUGGUGUUCUCUUCAGGGCGGACUGAUGGCUCUGCUAGAUGACAUGUUUGGCCAGCAGCUGGCCUGGUACUUUAACCCAGAGUCUCUGGUCACUGAGCUCUCCAGCCUCCUGGAGUACCACUUGGAGAACCUCAUGGCCAGCAUGUAGUCCUACUGCAGGGACCAUACUCCUUUCUCCUUCUCUCUCUCUUUUGAAGGAAUUGAGGACUUGAAGUGCUUUGUUGAACCCUGAUUAGUUAACACGCAUUAAUUUAAUGUAUUCUCUUGUUUUCUCUCCCCACAGGAUUAUUGUGACACUUUGCCUCCCAACAGGGCUGUAGACACCAAUGAACUACAUUACUUUGCACUGAAUUUGACAUUUUAAAAUAAAAUAAGUUGUAGUUCAAAAACAUUUUUGUUUCUGUCUUUUCAUCUAUUUGAUUUAUGACCAUUUCCUCUUCCUGGAGGUAUAAUGCAUAUAUUAGAAUAUUACAUGAACAAUGAUGCUUUAUUAUCU
Molecule: long non-coding RNA, 1058 nt
Filed under: Oncorhynchus kisutch (coho salmon)
Lineage: Eukaryota; Metazoa; Chordata; Actinopteri; Salmoniformes; Salmonidae
Description: lncRNA (ENSOKIG00005047888.1)
Source: RNAcentral